Molecule: ribosomal RNA, 437 nt
Filed under: Campylobacter gracilis
Lineage: Bacteria; Pseudomonadati; Campylobacterota; Epsilonproteobacteria; Campylobacterales; Campylobacteraceae
Description: bacterial SSU rRNA
Rfam family: Bacterial small subunit ribosomal RNA
Source: RNAcentral
AGUGAACGCUGGCGGCGUGCCUAAUACAUGCAAGUCGAACGGAAUUUAAAAGAGCUUGCUCUUUUAAAUUUAGUGGCGCACGGGUGAGUAAUAUAUAGCUAAUCUGCCCCUUGCUGGAGGACAACAGUUAGAAAUGACUGCUAAUACUCCAUACUCCUUUUUACCAUAAGAUAAAUCGGGAAAGAAUUUCGGCAAGGGAUGAGACUAUAUCGUAUCAGCUAGUCGGUGGGGUAACGGCCUACCGAGGCUAUGACGCGUAACUGGUCUGAGAGGAUGAUCAGUCACAUUGGAACUGAGACACGGUCCAAACUCCUACGGGAGGCAGCAGUAGGGAAUAUUGCGCAAUGGGGGAAACCCUGACGCAGCAACGCCGCGUGGAGGAUGACACUUUUCGGAGCGUAAACUCCUUUUGUUAGGGAAGAAUAAGACGGUACCUA